RNAcentral lists this ribosomal RNA (465 nucleotides) under uncultured bacterium. RNAcentral's name for it is "partial 16S ribosomal RNA". It matches the Rfam family "Bacterial small subunit ribosomal RNA", at positions 339 to 795 of the family's 1533-position model. The record is from RNAcentral.
CUACGGGCGGCUCCAGUGGGGAAUUUUGCGCAAUGGGCGAAAGCCUGACGCAGCGACGCCGCGUGAGGGAAGAAGGCCUUCGGGUCGUAAACCUCUGUCAGAGGGGAAGAAAUUUCAGUCGGUUAAUACCCGGCAGGAUUGACGGUACCCUCAGAGGAAGCAUCGGCUAACUACGUGCCAGCAGCCGCGGUAAUACGUAGGAUGCAAGCGUUGCUCGGAAUUACUGGGUGUAAAGAGCGCGUAGGUGGCCUGAUAAGUCAGUGGUGAAAGCCCUCGGCUCAACCGAGGAAUUGCCCCUGAUACUGUCAGGCUUGAGUACUGGAGAGGAAAGCGGAAUUCCUGGUGUAGCGGUGAAAUGCGUAGAUAUCAGGAGGAACACCGGUGGCGAAGGCGGCUUUCUGGACAGAUACUGACACUGAGGCGCGAAAGCGUGGGGAGCAAACAGGAUUAGAUACCCGAGUAGUC